CGUGUAGGCGGUCUGUUAAGUCUGAUGUGAAAGCCCCGGGCUCAACCCGGGAAGUGCAUUGGAAACUGGCAGACUUGAGUACGGGAGAGGGUAGUGGAAUUCCGAGUGUAGGGGUGAAAUCCGUAGAUAUUCGGAGGAACACCGGUGGCGAAGGCGGCUACCUGGACCGAUACUGACGCUGAGACGCGAAAGCGUGGGGAGCAAACA
This 207-nucleotide ribosomal RNA is filed under the name uncultured bacterium. Its description in RNAcentral is "partial 16S ribosomal RNA". It matches the Rfam family "Bacterial small subunit ribosomal RNA", at positions 568 to 774 of the family's 1533-position model. The record is from RNAcentral.